GAUCUCAGAUCUUGCUCAUGUUCAGAGUCAUGCAUAUGGUACGGAGAUAGUGGGAAGAAUUUCUCCUCCCUGAUAUGUGACAAUGAGAAAAAUGGCAAUAGAACUCAGCUGUUCAUUAGCUGUCUUCCAUCACCUGUCUCCUGGAUGCAACUGAAUUGUACAUUACCCAAGAAAAAUAAGACGACAGAAAAUGUUUCAAAAUUUUGCAUUUUACCUGUUUGGCAGCCUUAUAAAUGUUUCAAGUGCUGAAACAGUGAAGUAGGCAAUAUUCAAUGGAAAUGAAAUAAUUGGAAAAUCUGAUGACUCCAUCAGUUAAUAUCUGUGGAAACAAAGUAGAUAUGCCACAUUUUUUAUCCUAGGUAAAUGCAAACUUAUAGCUUAUUAUAACACCACAGGAUAUAAAAAAGCAUUCUGCCAGUUGAAGCCAUGCACAAUCUCAGAAUCAAAAGGAAAAUUUUGAUUGUGUUAUCUCAAAAAAUUAAAAACUAUAUUUCUGUUGAUGAUAUAUAUAUGUAUAUAUACAUAUAUAUAUACGUGUAUAUGGGAAUAAAAAAUAGGGAAAUUAGUAUUAGUCCAUUAUCAUGUAAAAUAUUAGAAACAUUGAGAGUUAAAGUGGUUUAUUUCAUUUUUUAAAAAUUGCAUGGACAACUUCUUCUGUACAACUUCUUCUGACUAAACAGCUUGAACAUUUUUCCUAUGCCUUAGCAAACUGUCAUACUCCUUUCUAAGUUGGGACCAGCUUUUAACAUUUUAUUCUUUGUGCUCUCACAGAUAUGAAAUAUUUUCUACAGUUCCUUUCAUGUGACUUUUUGGCUGGUAUCACUUCUUCAUCACAACUACUUUUCUUAUUUAUGCUAAUAAAUUUCUUUGAUAAGUUUCUCUGAAAUAAUAGCAGUGUCAACAUUUCUAUGGUCAGCAUUUGUACAGUGUGGUAAAAUUUUGUAUUGCUUGCUCUGGAGUUUGCAAUGUGUAUAUAUAAGGCUCUGAGCAUCUAUUCUGACUCCAAAAAAGCUAGUUUUUCUGCCUUCUGAAAACCGUUGUUAUUCACCACCAAAAUCUUUAGAAACUAAAUACUCAGUAAACAUUUCCUUUAUUUUCUUGCUUUAAUUGAAAUCCAUUUCUCCUUUUAGGUUCCCCGCAGAUAUCCCAAGUGUUGGAGGUGGCUUUGUUUACCACAUUCCAUGUACUAGUGAACCCGAAGGUUCUCUUUUUUCUGUUUUCAAUUUCCAGAUCAUCUUUCCUCCCCCCCAACUCUAAAAAUUUCUAAUGCUGACUCUUGACAUCAGACUAAUACAACCAUUACACAACACUGACUGUUUCAGGCAUCUUCCAACUCGUGGUGACUUCCCUGAUUCCUUAAAAAUUUCAGCUCACUGUUAAUCUCUCUAGCACUAACACUCUCCUAAUAUUUAGUGCUUUGUAUACAGAGAUUCUAUGUCAUAGACCAUCCUUCCAACAUUCUAGACACUUAAUUACUUGACCUCCAGUAAUCUUGUAUUUUUUUCUCACUUAUUCUAAUAACCCCUUUGGUCAUAAUCUAAAAUUUAUUAUUGUCAAUAUCUGGAACCCCUCCAUAAUCUUAAUUUGAAGUGACCCAGGCUCUAAAUUCAGCCUCCUACAUUUCCAAAUCAUUUCCUAGAUUAUUCUGACUCCACAAUAUGUUUGCUUCACCAGAUCGUAUUAUCUAAUGGCCCUUUAUCCUUUUGUCACUUGC
Molecule: long non-coding RNA, 1714 nt
Organism: Myotis daubentonii (Daubenton's bat)
Lineage: Eukaryota; Metazoa; Chordata; Mammalia; Chiroptera; Vespertilionidae
Exons: 3
Source: RefSeq, a predicted model, not a curated record